GAUGAACGCUGGCGGCGUGCCUAAUACAUGCAAGUCGAGCGAACAGACGAGGAGCUUGCUCCUCUGACGUUAGCGGCGGACGGGUGAGUAACACGUGGAUAACCUACCUAUAAGACUGGGAUAACUUCGGGAAACCGGAGCUAAUACCGGAUAAUAUAUUGAACCGCAUGGUUCAAUAGUGAAAGACGGUUUUGCUGUCACUUAUAGAUGGAUCCGCGCCGCAUUAGCUAGUUGGUAAGGUAACGGCUUACCAAGGCAACGAUGCGUAGCCGACCUGAGAGGGGGACCGGCCACACUGGAACUGAGACACGGUCCAGACUCCUACGGGAGGCAGCGGUAGGGAAUCUUCCGCAAUGGGCGAAAGCCUGACGGAGCAACGCCGCGGGAGGGAUGAAGGUCUUCGGAUCGUAAAACUCUGUUAUUAGGGAAGAACAAAUGUGUAAGUAACUAUGCACGUCUUGACGGUACCUAAUCAGAAAGCCACGGCUAACUACGUG
This 497-nucleotide ribosomal RNA is filed under the name uncultured bacterium. RNAcentral's name for it is "partial 16S ribosomal RNA". It matches the Rfam family "Bacterial small subunit ribosomal RNA", at positions 28 to 507 of the family's 1533-position model. The record is from RNAcentral.